CAGUCGCCGCGGUAAUACGAAGGGGGCUAGCGUUGCUCGGAAUGACUGGGCGUAAAGGGCGCGUAGGCGGUGGCCAAAGUCAGGCGUGAAAUUCCUGGGCUCAACCUGGGGGCUGCGCUUGAUACUUGGUUGCUUGAGUGAGGAAGAGGGUCGUGGAAUUCCCAGUGUAGAGGUGAAAUUCGUAGAUAUUGGGAAGAACACCGGUGGCGAAGGCGGCGACCUGGUCCUUGACUGACGCUGAGGCGCGAAAGCGUGGGGAGCAAACAGGAUUAGAUACCCCCGUAGUCCCUGUCUCUUAUAC
RNAcentral lists this ribosomal RNA (301 nucleotides) under uncultured bacterium. RNAcentral describes it as "partial 16S ribosomal RNA". It matches the Rfam family "Bacterial small subunit ribosomal RNA", at positions 509 to 807 of the family's 1533-position model. The record is from RNAcentral.